Rhipicephalus microplus (southern cattle tick) is the source of this 696-nucleotide long non-coding RNA. NCBI's taxonomy places the organism in Eukaryota, Metazoa, Arthropoda, Arachnida, Ixodida, Ixodidae. The record is from RefSeq and is a predicted model, not a curated record.
UUUUCUUGUACAUGGCGGCGUUGAAUACUAUAUGGCACGUGCUAUAUGGUAAUUUCGUAGGGCAGUUUUCUUCGUGUCGUCGACGUUUACUGCCCUGCAUCGCGUUGCGUACUGUGUGUUGCAGUUACUGACAUAAGCACACAAUUUUCGCUGAGUAUUAUUAGCGGUGCCAAAUAGUCGCCUAAUACUGACCGUUCAACACCGUUCUCUGCGGCUCCUCUGUUCAUUGUCACUGUUGACGGGCGUGAAAUGUUUUCCCUUGAAAUAUUGCCGCACAUCAAUGACAGCGUUCUUCAAAGCCACGCUGCCAUCGAGGCGCCUCACGCAUCACCUCCUCGUUGCCUGGUGAACCUGGUGAUGUCCACAUGCAGCCAAUGCUGGUGUGAACAUGAGUUAUGUAAUAAUGCAGAUAGGAUGAACAAUGCUUUUCUGUGUGCAUCAUGGUCAAGAUGCGCAAGCCAAAUGUUCCUUCUACCAAAUGUUCCACAAGCCAAAUGUUCAUUCCAGUGAAUGAGCAUGCCUGGGAAUGUACUUCAAGCACGCCACAUGGGGCCAGCUGUGCCACUUCAAGAAAACUGCUUCAUUCCCAUCUGCAAGCUCCAAAAGAAGUUGCUUUAUUAUGCAAGCCAGCAAGGCAUAUUUGUUAGGCCCCACAGCAAAAGGAACAAAUAAACACGUUUUUUUUUUCGCAAGAAA